GGAUGUGAGGGUUAUCUGGCUGUGACAUCUGUCACCCCAUGAUAGCAAGGGUUGACUCAGCUGGUCUGGCUGGUGAGGCUGGUGUCCACUUCUUCCCUCACUGCUCCGUGUGCAUCCCUCCGGAAGCUGUGCGCUGGUCGAGGACGGUGACAUUCCCCAGUAGAUGAGCAGCUGCGUUCCCCUGCUAGAACCUCCAAACAAGCUUUCAGAAUUCUCCCUCAUCUUUGAAGCACCAACUCAAAUACUUUUUCUUCUGUGAAGCCUUUUUAAAUGCCUCAAUACAGAUUUAGUGAACUUUUUCUCUUGGAGUUUCACU
Molecule: unclassified non-coding RNA, 316 nt
Organism: Chlorocebus sabaeus (green monkey)
Lineage: Eukaryota; Metazoa; Chordata; Mammalia; Primates; Cercopithecidae
Gene: 7SK
Rfam family: 7SK RNA
About the family: 7SK was discovered as an abundant small nuclear RNA in the mid-70s but a possible function has only recently been suggested. Two independent studies have found that 7SK RNA binds the CDK9/cyclin T complex (known as elongation factor P-TEFb). P-TEFb activates transcription by phosphorylating the C-terminal domain of RNA polymerase II.
Source: Ensembl